CAGACUCCUACGGGAGGCAGCAGUGGGGAAUUUCCGCAAUGGGCGCAAGCCUGACGGAGCAACGCCGCGUGUGGGAAGAAGGCUCUUGGGCUGCCAACCACUUUUCUCAGGGAAGAAGUCCUGACGGUACCUGAGGAAUCAGCCUCGGCUAACUCCGUGCCAGCAGCCGCGGUAAUACGGAGGAGGCAAGCGUUAUCCGGAAUUAUUGGGCGUAAAGCGUCCGCAGGGGGCACUUCAAGUCUGCUGUCAAAGGUCGGAGCUUAACUCCGGUUCGGCAGUGGAAACUGGAGUGCUAGAGGGCGACAGGGGUAGAGGGAAUUCCCAGUGUAGCGGUGAAAUGCGUAGAGAUUGGGAAGAACACCGGUGGCGAAAGCGCUCUACUGGGUCGCACCUGACCCUCAGGGACGAAAGCUAAGGUAGCGAAAGGGAUUAGAUACCCCUGUAGUCUUAGCCGUAAACGAUGGAUACUAGGCGUGGUUUGUAUCGACCCAAGCCGUGCCGAAGCUAACGCGUUAAGUAUCCCGCCUGGGGAGUACGCACGCAAGUGUGAAACUCAAAGGAAUUGACGGGGGCCCGCACAAGCGGUGGAGGAUGUGGUUUAAUUCGAUGCAACGCGAAGAACCUUACCAGGGCUUGACAUCCCGCGAAUCUUGCUGAAAGGCGAGAGUGCCUUCGGGAGCGCGGAGACAGGUGGUGCAUGGCUGUCGUCAGCUCGUGUCGUGAGAUGUUGGGUUAAGUCC
RNAcentral lists this ribosomal RNA (740 nucleotides) under uncultured organism. RNAcentral describes it as "bacterial SSU rRNA". It matches the Rfam family "Bacterial small subunit ribosomal RNA", at positions 332 to 1087 of the family's 1533-position model. The record is from RNAcentral.